AGUGGCGAACGGGUGAGUAACACGUGGGCAAUCUGCCCUUCACUCUGGGACAAGCCCUGGAAACGGGGUCUAAUACCGGAUAACACUCUGUCCCGCAUGGGACGGGGUUAAAAGCUCCGGCGGUGAAGGAUGAGCCCGCGGCCUAUCAGCUUGUUGGUGGGGUGAUGGCCUACCAAGGCGACGACGGGUAGCCGGCCUGAGAGGGCGACCGGCCACACUGGGACUGAGACACGGCCCAGACUCCUACGGGAGGCAGCAGUGGGGAAUAUUGCACAAUGGGCGAAAGCCUGAUGCAGCGACGCCGCGUGAGGGAUGACGGCCUUCGGGUUGUAAACCUCUUUCAGCAGGGAAGAAGCGAGAGUGACGGUACCUGCAGAAGAAGCGCCGGCUAACUACGUGCCAGCAGCCGCGGUAAUACGUAGGGCGCAAGCGUUGUCCGGAAUUAUUGGGCGUAAAGAGCUCGUAGGCGGCUUGUUGCGUCGGUUGUGAAAGCCCGGGGCUUAACCCCGGGUCUGCAGUCGAUACGGGCAGGCUAGAGUGUGGUAGGGGAGAUCGGAAUUCCUGGUGUAGCGGUGAAAUGCGCAGAUAUCAGGAGGAACACCGGUGGCGAAGGCGGAUCUCUGGGCCAUUACUGACGCUGAGGAGCGAAAGCGUGGGGAGCGAACAGGAUUAGAUACCCUGGUAGUCCACGCCGUAAACGUUGGGAACUAGGUGUUGGCGACAUUCCACGUCGUCGGUGCCGCAGCUAACGCAUU
RNAcentral lists this ribosomal RNA (755 nucleotides) under Streptomyces sp. GTVB22. Its description in RNAcentral is "bacterial SSU rRNA". It matches the Rfam family "Bacterial small subunit ribosomal RNA", at positions 94 to 861 of the family's 1533-position model. The record is from RNAcentral. Lineage: Bacteria; Bacillati; Actinomycetota; Actinomycetes; Kitasatosporales; Streptomycetaceae.